RNAcentral lists this ribosomal RNA (1785 nucleotides) under Oncotylus desertorum. RNAcentral describes it as "partial large subunit ribosomal RNA". It matches the Rfam family "Eukaryotic large subunit ribosomal RNA", at positions 41 to 1873 of the family's 3401-position model. Lineage: Eukaryota; Metazoa; Arthropoda; Insecta; Hemiptera; Miridae. The record is from RNAcentral.
UAUUAGUAAGCGGANGAAGAACUAACKAGGAUUCCAUUAGGAGCUSCGAGCGAACAGGGAAAAGCCCAGCASUGAAUCCSGGGGGASUSGAUCCCAGGGAAAUGUAGUGUUYGGGAGGGUMCAUAUACCSGAUACUGGYGSAGCGMGUYCAAGUCCAUCUKGAAAGAGKYCACGGUCCCGAGAGGGUGCCAGGCCCGUGGUAGGCCGGUGCAGGUGUWGGGUGGACCUCUCCUCAGAGUCAGGUUGCUCUGAAGAGGGAGAUUCACGUCUUCUCGCGGGUUCGACGCAUCCGCUCCUCUCCGACGGCCCUGCCCCCGUCCGGACUCGUCCGGUGCGUGGCGGUGGGGUUGCAGAGGGCGGUGUGGAGGCCUGCGGCGGACCGCACUUCUCCCUUAGUAGGACGUCGUGACCCGUCCGGUCAUGGUCUUACGGUUGCAGGGUGGAGCCUGUCCGUUCRWGCUUGCACGUCUUCGGGCAGACCCCCGCAUCCSGSCAAACCCAAAGGMGUAAUGAAAGUGAAGGGAACUUUACKUUUCUGAGGGAGGAUGAGUCGGUUACCCRCAWGGGGCCACUCCSCACUCCCGGGGCGUCUCUUUCUCMUUGCGAGUGGAGGCGCACCCAGAGCGUACACGCUGAUACCCGAAAGAUGGUGAACUAUGCCUGGCCAGGACGAAGCCAGGGGAAACCCYGGUGGAGGUCCGCAGCGAUUCUGACGUGCAAAUCGAUCGUCGGAGCUGGGUAUAGGGGCGAAAGACCAAUCGAACCAUCUAGUAGCUGGUUCCCUCCGAAGUUUCCCUCAGGAUAGCUUGCGCUCACGUGAACGAGUCUCAUCCGGUAGAGCGAAUGAUUAGAGGCCUUGGGGUCGAAACGACCUCAACCUAUUCUCAAACUCCAAAUAGAUGAGAACUCCGGCUUUCUUGAACUCUGUUUUUGAAGCCGGGGGCUCGGAUCAGAGUGCCAAGUGGGCCAAUUUUGGUAAGCAGAACUGGCGCUGUGGGAUGAACCAAACGUCGAGUUAAGGCGCCUAAAUCGACGCUCAUGUGAAACCAUGAAAGGCGUUGGUUGCUUAAGACAGCAGGACGGUGGCCAUGGAAGUCGGAAUCCGYUAAGGAGUGUGUAACAASUCACCUGCCGAAGCAACUAGCCCUGAAAAUGGAUGSCGCUGWAGCGUCGWGCCUAUACUCGACCGUCAMCGGCAWAGAUGGCCGGCGGGCAACCGUCGGCCGUUAAGCCUUGACGAGUAGGAGGGCCGCGGCGGUGUGCGUAGAAGGGUCUGGGCGUGAGCCUGCCKGGAGCSGCCGUCGGUGCAGAUCUUGGUGGUAGUAGCAAAUACUCCAGCGAGGCCCUGGAGGACUGAUGUGGAGAAGGGUUUCUUGUGAACAGCUGUUGCACAAGAGUCAGUCGGUCSUAAGCCSUAGGAGAAAUCCGAAGCGAUGGGUUGCCGUGAACUUKGSUGUUUUGYUGGCACCCGUUUGGGCGAAAGGGAAUCCGGUUCCUAUUCCGGAACCUGGCAGUGGAACCGUUCCAAUUCGGGCCCUCUGAGGACUCGUCAGGGCAACCUGAAUAGACCCGGAGACGCCGACAGGAGGUUGGGGGAGAGUUGUCUCUUCUCUAUAAGCGAUCGAGUUCCCUGGAAACUUCUAGCAAGGAGAUAGGGUUUGGAUCGCGAAGAGCACUGCAGUUACGGCAGUGUCCCAAUCUUCCUCUCGGACCUUGAAAAUCCGGGUGAGGGCCACGAGGAACCCCACGCCAGACCGUACCCAUAUCCGCAGCAGGUCUCCAAGG